GUCGUAGCUCAGUGGCAGAGCAUCUGCUUUCCAUGCAGAGGGUCCCAUGUUCAAUUCCCAGGUAGGGCUG
This is a non-coding RNA of Podarcis lilfordi (Lilford's wall lizard), 70 nucleotides long. The record is from the annotation of a GenBank genome assembly. Lineage: Eukaryota; Metazoa; Chordata; Lepidosauria; Squamata; Lacertidae.